CCCGCAACGAGGGAAAAAAUUGGCAUUAGUUGCUACUAAAGGGCACUCUUAUGAGACUGCCGGUGAUUAACCGGAGGAAGGUGGGGAUUUACUUCAAGUCCUCUUGGCCCUUAUAGGUGGGGCUACACACGUCAUACAAUGGCUGGUACAGAGGGGUGCCAACCUGCGAGGGGGAUCUAUUCCCAUAAAACCAGUCGUAGUCCGGAUCGCAAUCUGCAACUCGACUGCGUGAAGUCGGAAUCGCUUUUUUUCUUGGAUCACAAUGUCUCGGUUAAUACUUU
Molecule: ribosomal RNA, 281 nt
Filed under: Curvibacter sp. October_NA4C4
Lineage: Bacteria; Pseudomonadati; Pseudomonadota; Betaproteobacteria; Burkholderiales; Comamonadaceae
Description: partial 16S ribosomal RNA
Rfam family: Bacterial small subunit ribosomal RNA
Source: RNAcentral